Molecule: long non-coding RNA, 616 nt
Filed under: Vigna radiata
Lineage: Eukaryota; Viridiplantae; Streptophyta; Magnoliopsida; Fabales; Fabaceae
Description: long non-coding RNA (VRAD_LNC009848)
Source: RNAcentral
GAUUGUUUCUCUUAGAUUAUAGAGGUCCAAGAACUCUUCAAGAAGACGGUGGUGAUCUUUCUUGAUCACAUAUCUGCACAUUGAGGUGUCUUCUGGUUGAUCAAGAUUCAUAUUGGCAUCCAUGGUGAUUUUUGUGGUUACCUGUUGUGAUUACAGGGGAUAGACUCGUGGAGUCUGGUUCACUUUGAGGACUGUUCAAAGUGGUUUUGCAGAUUGCAGGAGAGGGAACAUCUAGCUACAAUUCUUGCUGUGUGGUUUGCCUAUAUUUUGGUUAAAGGGUUAGAGAGGUGUUUUAUAUUUUUGACGUGGAGGUCUUCUAUAAAAGCCUUGUUGUAAAACCUUCUAUAAAAGUCUUCUAUAGCGCAUUUGCUUUAGGGUACAGGAAGGACACUGGAUGUACACAUUGGGGCCGAACCAGUAUAAAAACCAGUGUUUGAUUUUCUCUAUCCCUGAUCUUUUACUUACAAUCGACUUUAUUAUCAGCGUAGUCAACUACGUUUUUCCGCUGCAUACGAAUUUUCAUUACUUGCAACUCAAGAAAGUUUGUAAAGUUUUAUACUUUGUUUUAAAGAUUGUGAAAGACUCGUAUUUUGAAAACCCACUAAUUCACCCCCCG